Molecule: long non-coding RNA, 317 nt
Organism: Symphalangus syndactylus (siamang)
Lineage: Eukaryota; Metazoa; Chordata; Mammalia; Primates; Hylobatidae
Source: RefSeq, a predicted model, not a curated record
UAAUAAUGGAACUUCCAACGCUUCUAUGAAGUCGUCUGAUUUCAGUGUGUCUGAGAUGUCAUGGUGCAAAUGAGGCCUAUAUAGGACCAAGCCCCCACGCACUCUUAGUCAAGGGUUCCACACUCAGCACGUUACCAGCCUCACUCAUGGCAGUACAGGGGUUAUUAGGAUUUCUCAGAAAGACUUCUGAGAAACCAGGAUUAGUAAGUGCGCUGUGUUCACACACCAGCUAUAGCCUGUAGCACAGAAGCCGUGCCUGCUCUUCCAACACAUCGCAGUGAUACUCAGUUAUAAGGGGAUUAAGGAUAAGGAAAAAA